GUCGAGCGGUAGAGAGAAGCUUGCUUCUCUUGAGAGCGGCGGACGGGUGAGCAAUGCCUAGGAAUCUGCCUGGUAGUGGGGGAUAACGUUCGGAAACGGACGCUAAUACCGCAUACGUCCUACGGGAGAAAGCAGGGGACCUUCGGGCCUUGCGCUAUCAGAUGAGCCUAGGUCGGAUUAGCUAGUUGGUGAGGUAAUGGCUCACCAAGGCGACGAUCCGUAACUGGUCUGAGAGGAUGAUCAGUCACACUGGAACUGAGACACGGUCCAGACUCCUACGGGAGGCAGCAGUGGGGAAUAUUGGACAAUGGGCGAAAGCCUGAUCCAGCCAUGCCGCGUGUGUGAAGAAGGUCUUCGGAUUGUAAAGCACUUUAAGUUGGGAGGAAGGGCAUUAACCUAAUACGUUAGUGUUUUGACGUUACCGACAGAAUAAGCACCGGCUAACUCUGUGCCAGCAGCCGCGGUAAUACAGAGGGUGCAAGCGUUAAUCGGAAUUACUGGGCGUAAAGCGCGCGUAGGUGGUUCGUUAAGUUGGAUGUGAAAUCCCCGGGCUCAACCUGGGAACUGCAUUCAAAACUGUCGAGCUAGAGUAUGGUAGAGGGUGGUGGAAUUUCCUGUGUAGCGGUGAAAUGCGUAGAUAUAGGAAGGAACACCAGUGGC
Molecule: ribosomal RNA, 660 nt
Filed under: uncultured bacterium
Lineage: Bacteria
Description: bacterial SSU rRNA
Rfam family: Bacterial small subunit ribosomal RNA
Source: RNAcentral